AAUCAAUGAUGAAACCUAUCCCAAAGCUGAUUGCCUGAAGAAAACAUUGGACUUGUGCU
This 59-nucleotide small nucleolar RNA is filed under the name Myotis lucifugus (little brown bat). RNAcentral's name for it is "Small nucleolar RNA SNORD50 (ENSMLUG00000021283.1)". Lineage: Eukaryota; Metazoa; Chordata; Mammalia; Chiroptera; Vespertilionidae. The record is from RNAcentral.